AAACUCAAAUGAAUUGACGGGGAGCACCACAACGGGUGGAGCUUGCGGUUUAAUCGGACUCAACGCCGGGAAACUCACCAGAUAAGACAGCUGAAUGAUAGUCGGGCUGAAGACUCUACUUGACUAGCUGAGAGGAGGUGCAUGGCCGUCGUCAGUUCGUACUGUGAAGCAUCCUGUUAAGUCAGGCAACGAGCGAGACCCACGCCCACAGUUGCCAGCGUACUCCCUGGAGUGACGGGUACACUGUGGGACCGCCGCUGCUAAAGCGGAGGAAGGAAUGGGCAACGGUAGGUCAGUAUGCCCCGAAUAUCCCGGGCUACACGCGAGCUACAAUGGUUGGUACAAUGGGUAUCUACCCCGAAAGGGGACGGGAAUCUCCUAAAACCAAUCUUAGUUCGGAUUGAGGGCUGCAACUCGCCCUCAUGAAGCUGGAAUCCGUAGUAAUCGCGUUUCAACAGAACGCGGUGAAUACGUCCCUGCUCCUU
Molecule: ribosomal RNA, 485 nt
Filed under: uncultured Methanolinea sp.
Lineage: Archaea; Methanobacteriati; Methanobacteriota; Methanomicrobia; Methanomicrobiales; Methanoregulaceae
Description: bacterial SSU rRNA
Rfam family: Archaeal small subunit ribosomal RNA
Source: RNAcentral